GUUUCUUGAACUAGAAGCUGCUGCACGGUCAUUUUUUGAUGAUGCAAAUUCUUCUGCUAGCGACAUAGUGCCAUCAGCUCUAUUACAAACCAACUCAGAUGUUUAUUUGUUGGCUGGUAGUUUGUCAAAUGCAUCAGAUAAUGGUAAUGGUUCUCCUGAGAUACGGAGGUUGGAACUCCUAGGAAUGCAAAAGAUAGCAGUGUUGAUUUUGGCAGGGAGACUUCAACUUCUGAACAAAACUUAACUGAUUUAAUGGAAGCAACUGUUAAAUAUGGUAUAUUUA
Molecule: unclassified non-coding RNA, 283 nt
Filed under: Hevea brasiliensis (rubber tree)
Lineage: Eukaryota; Viridiplantae; Streptophyta; Magnoliopsida; Malpighiales; Euphorbiaceae
Source: RNAcentral